AGUAGUAAUACAGUAGAAAAACAUUGGAAAUUUAAAAGGAAACUUCAUAAUCUAAGAAUAACAGCUAUAUGCGAUAGUCAUCCGACGACAUUACCCGUGACAUAGUGGGAACGUGCCCUUAAGUUGUGGCUACCGAUUUCAGGCGUAGUUAGUAUCAAGAGAGACACGACGAGUGGACAACGUGCCUACAAGAUGCGACUUCUCUCAACUUUAUUGUGUUGUGUACUCUUCGGAACCCUCACAUCACUAACGGCUGCCCUCAAAACAUGCGACCAAUGCGUUAAGAUAACAGAAUGUGCACCGGCUAUGAAUGAUCUCCGCACAAAUCGCAGUCCGGCGGCAGUUAAAAAACUGCAAGAUGCACUUUGUGGCUUUGAUGGCAUACAAAAGGUCUGCUGUUCCGAUUUCUUUUCAAGUCGAUCUUUGAUUGAAGAAGUAGAAAC
This is a long non-coding RNA of Papilio polytes (common Mormon), 443 nucleotides long. RefSeq lists it as uncharacterized. The transcript is spliced from 3 exons. Lineage: Eukaryota; Metazoa; Arthropoda; Insecta; Lepidoptera; Papilionidae. The record is from RefSeq and is a predicted model, not a curated record.